GGGAUAACACCUGGAAACAGAUGCUAAUACCGGAUAACAACACUAGACGCAUGUCUAGAGUUUGAAAGAUGGUUCUGCUAUCACUCUUGGAUGGACCUGCGGUGCAUUAGCUAGUUGGUAAGGUAACGGCUUACCAAGGCAAUGAUGCAUAGCCGAGUUGAGAGACUGAUCGGCCACAUUGGGACUGAGACACGGCCCAAACUCCUACGGGAGGCAGCAGUAGGGAAUCUUCCACAAUGGACGAAAGUCUGAUGGAGCAACGCCGCGUGAGUGAAGAAGGGUUUCGGCUCGUAAAGCUCUGUUGGUAGUGAAGAAAGAUAGAGGUAGUAACUGGCCUUUAUUUGACGGUAAUUACUUAGAAAGUCACGGCUAACUACGUGCCAGCAGCCGCGGUAAUACGUAGGUGGCAAGCGUUGUCCGGAUUUAUUGGGCGUAAAGCGAGUGCAGGCGGUUCAAUAAGUCUGAUGUGAAAGCCUUCGGCUCAACCGGAGAAUUGCAUCAGAAACUGUUGAACUUGAGUGCAGAAGAGGAGAGUGGAACUCCAUGUGUAGCGGUGGAAUGCGUAGAUAUAUGGAAGAACACCAGUGGCGAAGGCGGCUCUCUGGUCUGCAACUGACGCUGAGGCUCGAAAGCAUGGGUAGCGAACAGGAUUAGAUACCCUGGUAGUCCAUGCCGUAAAC
RNAcentral lists this ribosomal RNA (680 nucleotides) under uncultured bacterium. RNAcentral describes it as "bacterial SSU rRNA". It matches the Rfam family "Bacterial small subunit ribosomal RNA", at positions 140 to 807 of the family's 1533-position model. The record is from RNAcentral.